This 270-nucleotide long non-coding RNA is filed under the name Capsella rubella. RNAcentral describes it as "long non-coding RNA (CRUB_LNC004856)". The record is from RNAcentral. Lineage: Eukaryota; Viridiplantae; Streptophyta; Magnoliopsida; Brassicales; Brassicaceae.
AAGAAGAAGAGAGUGUAAAUGUUUAUAUAAUAUCUAGAUGUUAUGUGUAUACACAUGUGUGUGUAUUGUGUAUAUUGGUUUUUUUUUUUUUGGUUUUUGUAAUGUAGAGGAGGAGGUUUCCAGAAUUAUUGUCGCUACGUAUAGAGAGAGAAAGUGUUGGUUGGGUCGUGGGAGAGAGAGAGAGAGAGAGAGAGAGAGAGAGAGAGAGAGAAUGUCUUUAUUGAGAAAAUGAAAUGUUCCCAAAAAGAUCAAAUCUUUUCUCCAUUGGCC